Mycena latifolia is the source of this 92-nucleotide non-coding RNA. The record is from the annotation of a GenBank genome assembly. NCBI's taxonomy places the organism in Eukaryota, Fungi, Basidiomycota, Agaricomycetes, Agaricales, Mycenaceae.
CACCCGAUGGCACAAGGUGUGCAUCUGUUACCCUUCACAAAUAUUGCUACGAGGUUUAGCAGAAGGGCCCCGUUCGAUUCGGGGUCGGGUGA